UUUGCCACUGUGAAAUAAAAAUUAAAUAAUUUAUAACCACGUAGAUGGUUACCAUUAAUUAAUAAUAUUUAGGUUUUAAGAUUAAUUAUUUAAGAGGGAUUAGUUUGGUGAAACGUAAUCUCCAGAUGAUGACACGUCGUGGUGUAUUCACUGCAAAGAGUUGAAAAUCCAGUGAUGGCUUGGAUAAAAGAGCACUAGAAGUAUAAAACAGUUCAGUACCAUCAUUACUUCAACUAUAAAUAGAUAAGACAAAUAAAAAAAACAAAAAAACAAGUGAGUGUCUUUAUAUAGAAUUGACUGAAAUGACUUGUAGCCAGUCACUGGUAUUCACUGGUAUUAUUAAGCAGCAUCGGUACAAAGCAGUGAUUGGAGAAAACCAGCAGUUUCAACAGCUAUGUUAUCUUUCAGGACAUCCUGAUGUCUCUCUGUCUCCAUCUUCACAGUCUCCUCUUCCAUUUGAUUAAUCUUCUUUGUAUGUAGACUCAAAUAAUUUGUGACCUCAUAAUGAUCAACACGGCAGUGCUUCAGUUACACAGAAUCUUGGAAAUGUGAGGAUGCAAGAAAUGAAAUAAAACCAGCUGUCUGUGAUACCAACUAACAUGUUAACUCUUUAAGAAGAUGUAAACUUUUUAGAAGACGUGUCCAUGAAUCUGAUGAAGAACUACUGUACGUCUGCUGUACACAAGUUUGUUGAAGGAUUUCUUUAUUGUCUCUGUGCAGUCAAGCUGUUUAUGAAAUAUUACCCAUAAAUACAUUACAAGGAUAAAUAUGAACUUGUAUCUACACAAACAUCCACAACGAAUUCCACAGAAAAUGUGUAUAGCACAGAUAAAAACAUUACAAACUGCUCCUCUCAUUUGUUCCAUAAAGCUGCAGUAAAGGUCUGAUCAUCUCAUAAAUAUCGCAAAGUGCUUCACUACAGGAUGCUGUCAUGGUUCUCAAGAUCUGGAGAGGUUGUGGUGUGUGUCUUUUCUCCCACCAGGGCAGAAGUGGACCUUGCUUCCCCGCCUCUGAGCCCGCCCUCAACACACACCUGUGGCUCGUUAACACUGAUGCUGCUCUGGCUUCUCAUCACACGUAUUAUCCCUGGCAGACUACUUAAGACGGCAGGAGAGGCUGCUUCCUCACUGGAUCGUCACACUACCUAGCGCCUUCUGGAUUCCUGUGGAUGUGUGUGAGUGAGCAUGAGCAUUCUGGAUUGGACUAUCUGAGUGAGUUGUGGAUUGAGUAGAAGAGGAGUGUGUGUGCGCCUGCCUUGGACCUUCCCUCCCCUUCGGACCCCCUGGAGUCCUGUGUUAUCUGUCUCACUGUAUAUAUCCUCACUAGGUGCCACAUUGUAAAUAAAUCCUUCACCUUCUCUCUAAACUUCAGAGUCCUGUGAGUGAGUCAUCAGCCUAAUAAUCUGUGACAGAUACUAAGAAAUUAAAACAAAAAUUUACCCAAAAGCAAGUUUAAAAAGUUGAAUUUUUAGCUGCUUUUUUUUUUAAAAAAAAAGAAAAGGAAAAAAAAGAAUCCACAACAAACUCCUCACUGUUGUCUUACCUGCUGCUUUGACCCAUUCAGUGCCUCUGUUUCUUUUCCUUCCUUCACAGAAAUAAAAAAAGACAUAUAAAAAA
Molecule: long non-coding RNA, 1616 nt
Organism: Oreochromis aureus
Lineage: Eukaryota; Metazoa; Chordata; Actinopteri; Cichliformes; Cichlidae
Exons: 2
Source: RefSeq, a predicted model, not a curated record